Long non-coding RNA from Tympanuchus pallidicinctus (lesser prairie-chicken), 1715 nucleotides. RefSeq lists it as uncharacterized. The transcript is spliced from 4 exons. The record is from RefSeq and is a predicted model, not a curated record. NCBI's taxonomy places the organism in Eukaryota, Metazoa, Chordata, Aves, Galliformes, Phasianidae.
AUCACCAGCUCAAGCCCAGAUCUAACAGUUCCCCUACAAUGGUUCAGAAGAAUAAGAACUAUAACUGGUCUAAAGAUUGUACCAGAACAGUGUAAUUGUUACUCCAGGCAACAUCAGGUUACUAGGGUGAAAAUACAAAAUUUGAAGAAUAAAGCUCUACUUUUUUAUGUUGCAGCGGAGGAAACAAACUAAUGGAAAUGCAAAGGAAUUGAGGCAUGUGAUCUCCAUGGACAACCUGUCAGCUACUGACCUUGAUGUUUUUUCUCAUCUGCAACAACACUACAGAGUCGAAGACAAAAAUUAUAUUCCUCCUUCCCCCCUCCAAAACAUUUCUCUCAGCUCCUCCUUCAGUGUCACAUACUCCUUUUCCCCAACUAUUUGGUAACCUUUCACUGGACUUGCCAGUUUGACAGCACCUUUCUUUUACUAGGCAAGCCAAAACAAAAUGUAGCGCAUCAAAUCUGACUCACAGAUACUAACUAGGAUGGAAUAAGCAGCCUUAUGGCUGCAUUCUUCUCAUGAUAUCGUCAAAAUAUCGUCCCAAAAAACAAGACAACAUACAUAUAAUUUUUUUUCCCCACAAUUUCUCUUCCCAUGGGAAAUCAAACGAUAAGAUCUCACAUAAUUAAUUCAAUGGGGAGGAAAAGUUGGCAACAGAAAUAGUAAAUCCUCUCCACUGAAAGUAAAUGGCUCCCGUAUUCACAGUAAAAAAAGCGUGUGAGGAUUUCUACCUGCUUCUCCACUGCAGAAUCUGAAUGCCAAUGAAUUUAUAGUGAAGAGUUUAUGAAACAUAAAUCAUCCUUGUCCCAUGUAUUCAUGAAGUUGUUGGACUUUGCAUCACAAAUGGAUGUCAUGCCUCAACAGCAAGAAAUAUGUGACAUGCCAGAAGUGGCUGCUGGUCUUCUAUAAGAUGUCAGAGCAACAAGCUUUUUCUCCAAGUACAACAACAUAUCUGCCAUGGGAGUCCACUUGACACCAGAUACAAGGACUGCAGUUUCACUUGCCAGAUCACCUCUGAAUUCCCCUAGAGAGAAGUAAAGAGUCCAGAUUCCCUCAAGAUUAGCUCAACCACAGAUUCUACAGCAUAAGACAUCAUCAAAAUCCCAGGGUAACAGAAGUGAACUUGUCAGUUCAUGGCUGUUGGAAACAUUCCUUCCCUCUCCCAGUCUCACAAGACAUAUAUUUUUUGUCAAAUGAUGCAAGGCAGCAGAUGUCCCAUGAGGAAAAAAAAUCUAAAAAUCUAAUAAUUCCAAAUUACAAGAAUCAAAGUAAUCUAAAUUCCCCAUCUGUUGCCUAAUGUGGUUGUCAGAGAAAAUCUCAGUGCUCUGAGAAUGAGGUACAGAGUUCUUGAUGCAAUUAAAGACUUCAGGAAGGUGCUAAGCUUUUCUUUUUUUCAGGCUGCUUUUCAAAGUCUGAAAAAGAAUUCCAGCUCUAGCAAGAUACAGACAGUAAAUAUUUUCGUAUGUUUUUGUAGUUUGAACAUCUGUGACUCUAUAACUUGUAAUAGACAAAUCACAAGUUACCAUGGCUCUGAUGAGCACGGUGUCUUUAGUGAAUACACUUCUUUAUGCUCACUCUAAGGCUGAACCAAGGUCAUUAUAUCUGAGCAGAGAGAAUAUAUAAGGCUUUUCAGAACUGGAAAACAAAUAUAAUGCAAUUAGCUACUGAGGGGAAAAAAAAAAGACUAAAAAGCUAUGAAAAAAAAAAAAAACACC